UGCUGGAGCGAUUUGUCUGUUUAUUUGUCUGGCUAGUUCCGUUAACGAACGAGACCUUAACAACUUGUUUAAAAAGUUACCUGUGCCUUCGGUUACAUGGGCACUUGCUCAGUACUCUGCGUGUUUAUGGCAAGAAAGCUUGAGUCAGCAACA
Molecule: ribosomal RNA, 153 nt
Filed under: uncultured eukaryote
Lineage: Eukaryota
Description: partial 18S ribosomal RNA
Source: RNAcentral